GAGAGGCCCAAACGUUAUUCGGAUUUACUGGGCUUAAAGAGUUCGUAGGCGGUGCAGAAAGUGGGGUGUGAAAGCCCUCGGCUCAACCGAGGAAUUGCGCUCCAAACUACUGUACUAGAGGAAGCUAGAGGUGAGCAGAACUGAUGGUGGAGCGGUGAAAUGCGUUGAUAUCAUCAGGAAUACCGGAGGCGAAGGCGGCUCACUGGGGCUUUUCUGACGCUGAGGAACGAAAGCCAGGGUAGCGAACGGGAUUAGAUACCCCGGUAGUCCUGGCCGUAAACGAUGAGCACUGGGCCGGAGGACUGCACAGUUUUCCGGCCGUAGCGAAAGUGUUAAGUGCUCCGCCUGGGGAGUAUGGUCGCAAGGCUG
RNAcentral lists this ribosomal RNA (369 nucleotides) under uncultured bacterium. RNAcentral describes it as "bacterial SSU rRNA". It matches the Rfam family "Bacterial small subunit ribosomal RNA", at positions 527 to 896 of the family's 1533-position model. The record is from RNAcentral.